GGUACCUUUAAAUUAGUACAGAGAUACUAAUAAGGUAGCGGUUCAGGACAUAGGAUUAUUGCAUUCUUAUGGUAAUGCGCUCCUUACAGGACUCUGUAAGGAGCUUUUUACA
This 112-nucleotide small RNA is filed under the name Desulforamulus hydrothermalis Lam5 = DSM 18033. Its description in RNAcentral is "Desulfotomaculum hydrothermale Lam5 = DSM 18033 PyrR". It matches the Rfam family "PyrR binding site". From Rfam's summary of the family: This family represents the PyrR binding site and terminator structure. The record is from RNAcentral. Lineage: Bacteria; Bacillati; Bacillota; Clostridia; Eubacteriales; Peptococcaceae.